GAUGAACGCUAGCUACAGGCUUAACACAUGCAAGUCGAGGGGCAGCAUGAUUGAAGCUUGCUUCAAUUGAUGGCGAUCGGCGCACGGGUGAGUAACACGUAUCCAACCUUCCGUACACUCAGGGAUAGCCUUUCGAAAGAAAGAUUAAUACCUGAUGGUAUCUUAAGCACACAUGUAAUUAAGAUUAAAGAUUUAUCGGUGUACGAUGGGGAUGCGUUCCAUUAGGUAGUAGGCGGGGUAACGGCCCACCUAGCCUACGAUGGAUAGGGGUUCUGAGAGGAAGGUCCCCCCACAUUGGAACUGAGACACGGUCCAAACUCCUACGGGAGGCAGCCAGUGAGGAAUAUUGGGUCAAUGGACGAGAGUCUGAACCAGCCAAGUAGCGUGAACGGAUGAAGGUCCUACGGAUUGUAAACUUCUUUUAUAAGGGAAUAAACCCUUCACGUGUGGGAGCUUGUAUGUACCUUAUGAAUAAGCAU
RNAcentral lists this ribosomal RNA (479 nucleotides) under uncultured bacterium. RNAcentral's name for it is "bacterial SSU rRNA". It matches the Rfam family "Bacterial small subunit ribosomal RNA", at positions 28 to 493 of the family's 1533-position model. The record is from RNAcentral.